RNAcentral lists this ribosomal RNA (637 nucleotides) under uncultured bacterium. Its description in RNAcentral is "bacterial SSU rRNA". It matches the Rfam family "Bacterial small subunit ribosomal RNA", at positions 157 to 827 of the family's 1533-position model. The record is from RNAcentral.
CGGAGAGUAAUACUUUAUACGUCCUUCGGGAGAAAGCUUUAUGCGCUAUUGGAUGGGCCCGCGUUAGAUUAGUUUGUUGGUGAGGUAACGGCUCACCAAGGCGACGAUCUAUAGCUGGUCUGAGAGGAUGAUCAGCCACACUGGGACUGAGACACGGCCCAGACUCCUACGGGAGGCAGCAGUGGGGAAUAUUGGACAAUGGGGGCAACCCUGAUCCAGCGAUGCCGCGUGAGUGAUGAAGGCCCUAGGGUUGUAAAACUCUUUCGUCAGGGAAGAUAAUGACGGUACCUGAAGAAGAAGAUCCGGCUAACUUCGUGCCAGCAGCCGCGGUAAUACGAAGGGACCUAGCGUAGUUCGGAAUUACUGGGCUUAAAGAGUUCGUAGGUGGUUAAAAAAGUUGGUGGUGAAAUCCCAGAGCUUAACUCUGGAACUGCCAUCAAAACUUUUUAGCUAGAGUAUGAUAGAGGAAAGCAGAAUUUCUAGUGUAGAGGUGAAAUUCGUAGAUAUUAGAAAGAACACCAAAUGCGAAGGCAACUUACUGGGUCACUACUGACACUGAGGAGCGAAAGCAUGGGUAGCGAAGAGGAUUAGAUACCCUCGUAGUCCAUGCCGUAAACGAUGUGUGCUAGACGUUGGA